RNAcentral lists this unclassified non-coding RNA (3560 nucleotides) under Stegodyphus dumicola. Its description in RNAcentral is "fYN-binding protein 1-like, transcript variant X2". The record is from RNAcentral. Lineage: Eukaryota; Metazoa; Arthropoda; Arachnida; Araneae; Eresidae.
AAUGCAUUUUACAUGUAUUUGAAAUUUUAACGUUUGUUUUGCAGAACCUGGCUGUCACAAUCUUAUGAUGUGCAGAGGACUGGCUGCAUUCUGUUUGAAUCAUAUUCAGGGAUAGAUCUUUUCCAGGAAACUUUCUGAAUCAUGGCAGAUGAUUCACCAGGUAAAGUCCAAGCUCUAAGAGCUAUCUUUUCAGAAAAGAACAAGCCGUUAAUGGGGAUGAUGCCACCUGGGACGAGGUUAUCUAACAGACCGUGGAAACGAACUUCUGAAUCUGAAGAGAACCUUGUGACUUUAAAAGAAAAACAUUCUAGUGAAUCCAUAUUGCAUUCUCGAACGAUUGCUAAAGUAUUACCAUUUCCUGCAAAAAAAGUAGACACAGUUAACGGGGAAUCGCACAAGGAAGUCAAUGGUUUCAAUGACAGAAACUCAAAUAAAUGCAACUUAAAACCAGUCAUUGGCCCUAAGCCUUCUCACUUACUACAACAGGGUAGGACUAAUUCAUCUCUGAAUGUAAAUACGGAAGCUUCUGAUGUCAAUGAGAUCGGAGAUGUUAACGAAAAUGAACGGUGUUUGAAUUUAAAUAAUGGUCAGGAAAUGCCGAAAUCACAGGCAAAAUCGAAAGCAUUUGCUGAAACUAUUGCCUCUUUCAUGUUCACUAAUGGUGCUCAGAAUAAAGAAGAUGACAAAAUUUCUCCUGUUGAUAAUAAAAAAAGUAUUCCGCCGAUACCAAAGCCUAGGGCUUCUCAAAUGCAUACAAAUAUGCAGAACCAAAUGGAAGUUAUGAAUAUGUGUAAUUCACAUAGUGUUAUGCUACCAAAAAAGGACAUGGGACCUUCUUGUUGUAAUUUAAUAAACUCUGAUAAUUAUGUAUGCAAGAGUAAUUGUAAGUUCCGCAGAAAAGAGCUUCCGACGCUUGAGGAGCUUGGGCCUCCUCCACCAAAGCCAGUGAAACCUCAUUAUUUGAAGUUACCUGCCAAAUUUUUAAUACAGCCUUUUGCUUCUAACUCUGCUGUUCAGUUCUUGCAAUCGACUGAAGAUUCAGCUCCUAUACUUCCUCAAAGGCCAGCUCCACAAAAGCCUUCUUAUCCCUGCCCACCUAGGCCGCUUACACCUCCACCUUUGCCCCCCAUUUUAGCACCUGUGAUAAAACCUCAAGUUUCAUUGCGAGAGGAAAUUGAAGAAUUAUAUGAAGAUACUCUACUAGGAGAAAAUGGCAGAAGGCCUGUGUCUCUCAUCCCCGAAUAUACAGAAGAGGAAGAGCAAGCCGAAGAGCUAUAUAAUGAUGCUGGUGAAGCUGACGAUGUGCCAACUUGUCCAGUCCCUUCUUUACCCACAAAGCCAAAGAAUCCUCCUCCACCUUGUCCAUCUGAGUACCUGCAGCCUAAUGUUCAUGGUUCAAAUGAGGAAUUAUAUCAAGAUGCUGAUGGACCCAUUCAAGAGGAAUUUUAUGAAGAAAUGCCAUGUGAUUUUAUUCCCGAGGAUUCGGGGUCACCCUUAUACAGUAAUAACCGAAAAGAAAUAGAGAAACUGCGAAGGGAGGAAGAGAAAAGAAUUCGUAAAGAGCAAAAAGAAAAAGAAAAAAAGGGAAAAGAAAUGGAAAAGCUGAAAAAGAAGUUUGGGUUGACUGGUGAAGAGAUACCUAUUGAUGAUGGACUGGUAAAAGCAGACAGUCGUGGUGGUAAAGGAGAUUUAGCUGUUAAGAAAGGUGAAACUGUUCUAAUUCUGCGCAUGGAAGGAAAUCCUUCAGGCAGGUGGCUGGUAAAAAAUGAAAAAGGAAAGAUUGGUUAUGUGGAGCUGACAAAUAUUGAGGCCUUAACCCUAUCUGAGGAUGAUGUGUGUACAACUCCUACAGAAAAGAAUAUUACAUGGUUAUCUAAGAUCACUGCUUGUGUGAGGUGAUGUCUAUAAGAAGAUUGUCUGUGAUUAGCAGUCAGUGCGAGGAGUUGUACAGUGAAGCAAAAUCUGAAGAAGAAGCUAUUUAUGAAGAAACAUACUAGAAGGACUGUGUAUGCUGCUUCUGUGUACAGUUUGCUCAUAAUAAUGGGUGCGAUAGCUCAAAAUGUAUUUUACUUAAACAUCAAAAGAUAAAAAUUGAACAUAUAACGCAUGUAAACGAUAUAAAAACAGCACAAUGCUAAACCAAAUAUUUGUAUAUUUCUUUUUAAGUACUCAUUUUAUACAUUCUGUUUUAUAUUCAUAAAAAAAGAUUUCUCUAAGUUAUUUCAUGCAUAAUAAAAUAAUUUGUAAGUAUUCAUUUUUGUGCAAAAACUCUGUCUUAAAUUAUAUAUUGAAAUCUUUUUUCCCUUACUUUAAGCUAUAUACUUAUUUUAUUCACAGUAUACUAAUUUCAGUAACUAUAUAAAAUUAUUCAAGUCUUUUUAACAAAACUGCUGACCGUGCCUUAAUUUUCUAAGUUUUGAACAAAAUAAUAAUUAAAUAAAAUCUGUUUCAUGAGAGAAGAAUUUUAGACCUAAUUGAUAGGGGAAUAUAAAUUAAAUAAAAUACAGUAAAUUACAGUAAGGAAUGCUAAUUCUAUGAAUUUGUCUAAUUAGGUUUCAACUCUAUAUUAAAAAUAUGUCUGAAAAUGUUACUGAAAUGUAUGUACAUUAUUUGACUGCAGAAUUCUCUAUCAUUUAAAUACUGAUGCAGAAUUUAAAUGAAAACUUUUGUACAUAAUUGUAAAUAUUUAUUUUAUUAUAAUGGCUUUUUACAGAAUGUCAAAAUGCUGUAUAAUCUCUUGUACCAUGUCUAGUCUAUAAAUUUUAUACUGUAAGAAAUGUUAUAUACUGAUCAAAUUUUAUAUUAUUAAAUAAACAAAAUAUAAGGAAAUAAAAUUUAUUACCUCCUGCAUACUUUUUAUUUUUAAAAAUUCACUAUGGCAAUGAAAUUUUUACAUUUUACAAGAAAUCAAAAUAUUACUGUAGCUUUAUACAAAAUAUAUAUGAAGUUCAACAAAAUUCAUCUCGAAAUUAUCAAAUUUCACGCUUAAAAUUAAAUACAAAUGCCUAAUGAGAAAUGUUUCGAUACAUAUAUAAAAAGGUGGCAUGAAAGUUUUGCAAAUACAAGACAAUAUAAGAAUUUCUAUAAGCAAUAAAAGGAAAAUCGUGUUACCUUAAGCACUUUAUUAGUUUAGUCCACAUGUUGCGACUUCUUUGCCACUUUGUUUAAUAUAAUUCGUAUAAUUAAUUUUUCUGCAGCAAUGGACUAUUAAUUUGCACUGUAUAAAUCAGGAAAACACUAUUUCACAAUAUAAUGCAAAAAUAAUUCUUAAUAAAUACUGUUUUUUUAUUAUUAUUUAUUUAAUUUUUUAUAAAUUAAAGUUUUGCUUUAAAAACAUGUUUUUGAUUAUAUAUGACUAUUGUUAUUAAACCAAGAAGACAAGUCAACUAUUUUGUUUCCUCAUUUAAAUGUUGCAUAAUCAGUUUAUAUACAAAAAUAAAGAGAGCUAAAUUAACAAGCAUGGUUUCAUAGCUUGUAUGAACAUGCAUGUUAAUUUUGAAGUUAACAAGAUGAGAUUCAGAUUAUUUGAAUAUUCAAAAAAAAAAAAAAAAAGUUUUUAA